Molecule: ribosomal RNA, 444 nt
Filed under: uncultured bacterium
Lineage: Bacteria
Description: bacterial SSU rRNA
Rfam family: Bacterial small subunit ribosomal RNA
Source: RNAcentral
CCUACGGGGGGCAGCAGUAGGGAAUUUUCCGCAAUGGGCGAAAGCCUGACGGAGCAAUACCGCGUGAGGGAUGAAUGCCUAUGGGUUGUAAACCUCUUUUUUCAGGGAGGAACACAAUGACGUGUACCUGAAGAAUAAGCAUCGGCUAACUCCGUGCCAGCAGCCGCGGUAAGACGGAGGAUGCAAGUGUUAUCCGGAAUCACUGGGCGUAAAGCGUCUGUAGGUGGUUUAAUAAGUCAACUGUUAAAUCUUGAGGCUCAACCUCAAAAUCGCAGUCGAAACUAUUAGACUAGAGUAUAGUAGGGGUAAAGGGAAUUUCCAGUGGAGCGGUGAAAUGCGUAGAUAUUGGAAAGAACACCGAUGGCGAAGGCACUUUACUGGGCUAUUACUGACACUCAGAGACGAAAGCUAGGGUAGCAAAUGGGAUUAGAUACCCGAGUAGUC